RNAcentral lists this ribosomal RNA (623 nucleotides) under Colletotrichum truncatum. Its description in RNAcentral is "partial 28S rRNA". It matches the Rfam family "Eukaryotic large subunit ribosomal RNA", at positions 1 to 646 of the family's 3401-position model. The record is from RNAcentral. Lineage: Eukaryota; Fungi; Ascomycota; Sordariomycetes; Glomerellales; Glomerellaceae.
UUGACCUCGGAUCAGGUAGGAAUACCCGCUGAACUUAAGCAUAUCAAUAAGCCGGAGGAAAAGAAACCNACAGGGAUUGCCCCAGUAACGGCGAGUGAAGCGGCAACAGCUCAAAUUUGAAAUCUGGCCCUAGGCCCGAGUUGUAAUUUGCAGAGGAUGCUUUUGGCGCGGUGCCUUCCGAGUUCCCUGGAACGGGACGCCAUAGAGGGUGAGAGCCCCGUACGGUUGGACACCAAGCCUUUGUAAAGCUCCUUCGACGAGUCGAGUAGUUUGGGAAUGCUGCUCAAAAUGGGAGGUAUAUUUCUUCUAAAGCUAAAUAUAGGCCAGAGACCGAUAGCGCACAAGUAGAGUGAUCGAAAGAUGAAAAGCACUUUGAAAAGAGGGUUAAACAGCACGUGAAAUUGUUAAAAGGGAAGCGCUUGUGACCAGACUUGCGUCCGGUGAAUCACCCAGCUCUCGCGGCUGGGGCACUUCGCCGGCACAGGCCAGCAUCAGCUUGCCGUCGGGGACAAAAGCUUCAGGAACGUAGCUCUCUUCGGGGAGUGUUAUAGCCUGUUGCAUAAUACCCUUCGGCGGGCUGAGGUACGCGCUCCGCAAGGAUGCUGGCGUAAUGGUCAUCAGCG